CCUGGGCAGAACCCUGACAGCCUGGUCUGACCCCCAGGGAAGGAGAAGGAGCUCCUGGAGAAGCUGUACCAGGUGGGGCUGCUGCUGCUGCUGGAGACAGCGACGACAACAUCAAGGAUGACAACCUCUUCCUCAACCUGGCCACUGGCAGCUGAAGAUGAUGGACUUGUGGCACCGUCUUCAAAGCCAGGCUCCACAGCGAAUUCGCAGAUGAGUCCACAGCCGGGGAAAUGCUCCCAGAUUUGGGCAUUGCUCAGACUGGCUGGGAACAAAAGUUUCUCCCUUUGCUGGGGCAGAUGCAACUUCAGUCGGCUGCCCAGCUGCUUUUUGGCAGGGCUGGGGGCAUGGGCUGGGGUGGAUACAAGAUGGGAGUUGGCUCCUGGCCCUGCCAACAGCCCCCAGCACCCAGCAUGGCCUGGGCUGAGGCUGGGGCUGGGGCUGGGGCAGCCAGCCUGACACAAACAAACCUCCAUGGUGGGAGCAGAGGUGGGACUCCAGAACCUGUGCAGGGGCUGCUUUGCUUUGCAGGCAAGGAAGGGCUUGGGCUGCUCCACUGCCCUUGUUUGCUUUGGGAUCACCGUUAUUUUGGGGGGCAGUGCAGGAGGGAAGAGAGAAAGUGUGGGCUUCUCUCCCCCAUGGGUGGGAUUUUCCCUAGCAUGUAGGGGUUGGGCCUUCCUCAGACCUCUGACAGAGAUAAGAGUUUUUUUCUUGUUUCCCCUUGUCUCUAAUCUCUUUUCAACAGUUUGUUGUUUGUUUUUCUAGAGGAAGCGUUCUAUGUAAGGUCCAGUCGGGAUUGGGAAGUGCCUGGGAGCAGCUGCAGCGUGGAUGGGCCGUGCCCUUGGAGAAGGCUGAGGACAUCGUUUGGGACCAGCUUUUCUCCCAGCGGAGGAUGGCGUGAGCCGGGCUCUGCGGGUGCUGAGGCUGCUCUGGGCUCUGCCAGGGCUCUGCUGGGCUCUGCCCCGGGCACAGCUGGGCUGGCUCUGCCCUCACAUUGCUCUGACAGCUUUGCAUCAGACGAGCCCGUUGGAGCACAGUGCCUGAGCUUUCUGCUUUGGCAGGAACGCCUGGAUCUCCACUAUUCAUUCUUCAUUUCUUUUUGGCUGGAAUUGUGCAGUUGCACUUUCUUCCUCCUCUAGAAGUGCCACGAGUGGGCCAAACCUUGCAAAUGAGCCGUGUUCCUGAGGCAGUGCAGUCUGGAGCUGAUGGAUGGAGAAUUGCCCUUCCCACUUCCAAAGCAGAGCAAAAAGCCAGGUCCUGGCCCUCUUCCAGCCAAAGGGGAAAGGGCCCCACCAAGCCUUGUUACCCACAGACAACAUGGUAAAGCUGAACACUAAAGGACCUUGGGGGCAUUAUUCUGGAAUUAAAAAGUUGCCAGCUCCAUGGACAACAGAAUUAUUGUUCCUAACCUGAAUGACAUUGAGCAAAAAGAAUGAAGAACGGUGUCACUAAAGUACUACUGACGUUUGCCAAAACACCUCCAGAGUUUCACCAAGAGAUCAGUCAUCAAAAUGUUUUGAAAAUUUAAAGACCAAGGUAGCCAAAGCACACAGUGUCACUAAUUGCUGGGUAUGUUCUCAGCUGAAGUUGGGAGGAAUGGGGUUCCCUUGGAGGGCCCACCCUGUGGGGUGGCCAGAACUCUGUCAAUGGGCUCUGCCUCGUAACGGAGUCAAUGAAGGGACAGUUAGAGAAACCUGUGCUGUGGGACACGGGAAUACAACGAUCAGUGUGACAGGAUUCACUCAGAUUUCCCGUCAGGAGAAACCAAACCCUGUUACAGUUAUAGAGGCUACAGUGUCAGAAGAUUUCUGUGCUUUACCAUCACUCCCAAUGUCAGUAGAACUUGGGGUGCUGCAGCUGGUCAGUGUCAGUGUCACACCGCUCCCAGCUGCAGGGCCCCCAUUUAGGGUCCUUCAGCAACGACCACACGGAAGACUUAGGGCCCAGAGAACAUUUUCCACCCAAAGAGUGCCUUGGGUUUCCGAAAGCAAAGGAUUCUGGUUCACCCUGUGCCCCAUGUGCGCUGCCCCAUCCCGUGGAGUUGACAUGAAUGAGCUGAAUGGAUUAUUAGAAGAGGUAGUAAAUGAUACUGUUGAAAUGCCCAUUAGCACAUCCUAUGAGCUCCAACAAACACAAAUGGGGACUCCAGAGAACCGCAUGGCCUUGGAUUAUCUGCUUGCUGGCCAAGGAGGAACCUGGGCUAUCAGGGGACGGGGAUGUUGCACUGCUAGCAGUGAUGGGUUUGAAGGCCAACAGCCAGGAAUCACCUUGACAGAAAGAGCAGUAGAAGAGUGGCAGAAGAAAAUUCUUCUUGGUGGGAUUGGCUUCGUGGCUGCCAAAUUAGAGGCUGCUGUGAAAUGCAUUGGUGGCAGGGCCUGUCAUCAUUGCAGUGUGUGCACUUGGUGAGUUGCUGUGACACUUUGUGCUGGGAAGUGGAGUAUUGAGACCUUUCUUAAAAGAGACAGUCUCAAGAAAAGAGAGGCUUUUGAUAAACAACAGAGAAUAGCAACUAUUUAGGCAUGUUUUAAAAGGAACGUGAAUAGCUCUGAGUAAUGAAGUUAAACUGCACUUAAUUGUAGAACAAGAGGAGAUGCCUUUAUGCCUAAUACCUAAAUCUAAGCUGUGUUACUGAAAGAAUUAUUACAAAGGUUGUAGUUGAUUGUAGGUCUCAGGACCGAUCAAAGUACCAAGGCCUGAACAGGUUGUGAUCAAGGCCUGAACAGGCCCUGAGGCAAAGCUCACCUCUAGAUGAACCUUCCAAGCAAAUGUUGUAUUUGUAUCCACUCAUUAAGGAAGCAUGAUUAACAACACGAUCAAUGCAUGUGUUCCUUGAUAAAACAUGGAUUUAUCUUUCUGUAUUUAGAAACAGACAAGGCCCCAUCUGGCCUUGUUUGGGGGUGAAGGAUCAAAGUCAACUCCCUUGGUUCCUCCUUCAGCCCUGGCCAGGCUUUGGGAGAAAGCAGUCAGGAGAAUGAAAGCAGAUGUUCUCGCAGUGGCAGUGAUGCCAGCUUGUUUGUUUAACAGUGUAAAAGCUGGGUCCUCUCACAGCUUUGGAGCCUCAUUGCCUGCAGAGGUGGAGGCACCUGCAGGAAUUCCCAGUGUCUGGGAGUGGCUCUCCAGUCCUUGGCUUCCCCCAGCUGAUGUGUGGCUGUGGAUGAUGGUAAAGCCUGAGGCUAACUGGUGAUGGAUCUUUCCUUAAUCACUCCAGGCAAUCUCUGGUAGCAAUGACUGGAUGCAUUGCUGAGCUUCUUUUGUAAUGCUUUGCUAAUGAUGAUGUGCUUUGCUGAGCUUAUCCUUUUGUAAUUCUUUGCAGCUGUGCAUGAUAUAAAUGACACAAUUCCUUCA
Taeniopygia guttata (zebra finch) is the source of this 3342-nucleotide non-coding RNA. The record is from RefSeq and is a predicted model, not a curated record. Lineage: Eukaryota; Metazoa; Chordata; Aves; Passeriformes; Estrildidae.